GUUAUCAUCAACCGUAUCAGUGCUGCCCUCCAGUUUCAUAAUAAAAAUCCGGAAAGAUUGUUCAACGAAAAACAAUUCUGGGAUAUGUGUGGUACACCAAAUUGAAGGCUCGGAUCUCCCCUUUAAUUAUCUAUACACACUUUUUUGAUCGAAGUCUAUUUAUGUCUUUCCAACUGGAUUUUGUCUCUUGCCCUCCAGCUUCAGAAUAGAAAUCUGGAAGGAUUGUUCUACGAAAAAUAGUUCUGGGAACGAAGUCCAUUUAUGGCUUCCAGACUGGAUUUUGUGUCCUGCCAUUUAGUUUCAAAAUCAACAUCUGGAAGGAUAGUUCUACGAAAAACAGUUCUGUUGUAUGUGUGGCAUAGCUGAUCGCCCCUUUAUUUUGGUAUACGCAUUUUUUUGAACGAAGUUCAUUUAUGGUCUCUUGACUGAAUUUUGUGUCCUGCCCUCCAGUUUGGUAACAGAAAACUUAAACGUUUGUUCUACGCAAAACAGUUCCGGGAUAUGUGUUGUAUACCAAAUUAAAGACUCGGAUAUCCCCUUUAAUUUCGUAUACACACCUUUUUGAUCGAAGUCCAUUUAUGGCUUCCAGACUGGAUUUAGUGUCCUCCCAUUCAGUUUCAAAAUCGAAAUCUCGAAGGAUUGUCCUACGAAAAACAGUCCUGGUGUAUGUGUGGCAUACCAAAUUGAAGAUGCUAAUCGUCCCUUUAUUUUGGUAUACGCAUUUUUUUUUUAACAAAAUCCAUUUAUGGCUUCCAGACUGGAUUUAGUGUCCUGCACUCCAGUUUCAAAAUAAAAAUUUGAAAGGAUUGUUCUACGAAAAACAGUUCUGGGGUAUCUGUGGCACACCAAAUUAAAGGUGCUGAUCGUCCCUUUAAUAAGAUGUACGCGGUUUUUUGAAUGAAGUCCAUUUAUGGCUUCCACACUGGAUUUAGUGUCCUGCCCUCGGGUUUCAAAAUAGAAAACUGGAAUGAUUGUUCUAUGAAACACAAUUCUGGGGUAUGUGUGGUAUACCGAAUUGAAGGUGCUGAUCUCUUCUUUAAUUUGGUAUACGCGCUUUUUCGAACGAAGUCCAUGUAUGGUUUCCUAACUGGAUUUAGUGUCCGUCCCUCGAGUUACCAAAUAGAAAACUGGAAAGAUUGUUCUACGAAAAACAGGUCUGGGGUAUGUGUGAUACACCAUAUUAAAGGUGUUGAUCUACCCUUUAAUGUGAUGUACGUGGUUUUUUGAAUGAAGUCCAUUAAUGGCUUCUACGCUAGAUUUAGUGUCUACCAAAUUGAAGGUGUUGAUCUUCCCUUCAAUUUGUAUACACACUUUUUUGAACGAAGUCCAUUUAUGGCUCCUAAACUGGAUUUAGUGUCCUGCACUCCAGUUUCAAAAUAGAAAUCUACAAAAAACAGUUCUAGUGUAUGCGUGGCACACCAAAUUAAAGGUGCUGAUCGUUCUUUAUUUUGGUAUACGCACUUUGAACGAAGUCCAUUUUUGACUUCCAGACUAGAUUUUGUGCCCUGCCCUCCACUUUCAAAAUAGAAAUCUGGAAGGAUUGUUCUAUGAUAAACAACUCAGGGGUAUGUUUGGUACACCAAAUUGAAGGUGCUGAUCUCUUCUUUAAUUUGGUAUACUCACUUUUUUGAACGAAGUCCAUUCAUGGCUUCCACACUGGAUUUAGUGUCCUGCCCUCCGCUGUCGAAAUAGAAAUCUGGAAAGAUUGUUCUACGAAAAACAAUUCCGGGGUAUAUGUGGUACAUCAUAUUAAAGGUGUUGAUCUUCCCUUCAAUUUGAAUACGCGCUUUUUUGAACGAAGUCUAUUUAUGGCUCCUAGACUGGAUUUAUUGUCCUGCACUCGAGUUUCAAAAUAAAAAAACUGGAAGGAUUGUUCUACGAAAAACAGUUCUGGGUGUGUGUGAUGCACCAUAUUAAAGACGUUGAUCUCUCCUUUAAUGUGAUGUACGCGCUUUUUUGAAUGAAGUCCAUUUAUGGCUUUUACACUGGAUUUAGUGUCUACGAAAAAUAAUUCUGGGGUAUGUGUGGUACACCAAAUUGAAGAUGUUGAUCUUCCCUUCAAAUUGUAUACUCGAUUUUUGAACGAAGUCCAUUUAUAGCUCCUAGACUGGAUUUGAUGUCCUGCCCUCCACUUUCUAAAUACAAAUCUGGAAGGAUUGUUCUACGAAAAACAGUUCUGGGGUAUAUGUGGUACAUCAUAUUAAAGCUCCUACACUGGAUUUAAUGUCCUGCCCUCCACUUUCUAAAUACAAAUCUGGAAGGAUUGUUCUACGAAAAACAGUUCUGGGGUAUCUGUGGCACACCAAAUUAAAGGUGCUGGUCGUCCCUUUAUUUUGGUAUACGCACAUCUUUGAACGAAGUCCAUUAAUGGCUUCCACACUGGAUUUUGUGCCCUGCCCUCGAGUUUCAAAAUAGAAAUCUGGAAGGAUUGUUCUGCAAAAACAGUUGCAGUUGGUGUAUGUGUGGCACACCAAAUUUUGGUGUACUCACUUUUUCCAGUCCAUUUCCAUUUAUUGCUUCCAGACUGGAUUUUGUAUCCUGCCCUCCGCUUUCAAAAUAGAAAUCUGGAAGGAUUUUUCUAUGAAAAACAGUUCUGGGGUAUGUGUGGUGCACCAUAGGUGUUGAUCCUCCAAUUGAUUUGGUAUACGCGCUUUUUUUAACGAAGUCCAUUUAUGGCUUCUACACUGGAUUUAGUGCCCUGCACUCGAGUUUCAAAAUAGAAAUCUGAAAGGAUUGUUCUACGAAAAACGGUUCUUUGUAUACGUGUGAGUGGUACACCAUAUUAAAGGUUUUGAUCUCUCCUCUAAUGUGGUAUACGCACGUUUUUGAAGGAAGUCCAUUUACGGCUUAUACACUGGAUUUAGUGUAUACGAAAAUCAUUUCUGGGGUAUAUGUGGUACACCAAAUUAAAGGUGUUGAUCUUCCCCUAAUUUUGGUGUAUGCAUUUUUUUUGAACGAAGUCCAUUUGUGAUCACCAGACUGAAUUUUGUGUCUUGCCCUCCAAUUUCUAAAUCUGUAAGUUUUAAAUUAAAGGUAUUGUUCUCCUCUUUAAUUUGGUGUAUGCGAAAGUAAAUAACUCACAGCGAAAUUGUCUGGCGACCGAAACUAAAAACGCUUUAUAAUUUCCGAACUUUUUUAAUUUUUAUUACUUUGUGUCACCCUGUUAUUAUAUCGAUUAUAUCUAUGUACGUCGCUAACUUCACGCAGGUUUAUAAUUAGGAACUAUAACACACACAAACAACAAAAAUGGCGCGAACUAGUAACAUACUCAAAAUCAGAGAUGCACUAAUCACUGAUUUUGACAGAUAGUGAACACAAUAUUUUGUUGUUUGGCAAAUGCCAUUACCUGUAAAUUAAUAUAUCCUGAUUGUACGUACCGCAGUGACCACACUGCUACAACAACAAAAUAAAAGUGUAAGAGCUAUAUGUGCUAACAAUUGUUAUUUAAGUCCAUCUCUGUGGUGUUCAUUGCUGUCACGAGAAGCUUGGCUGGGAGCUACCGGACGCGUCCACAGGUUGCGGAUAGUGGAAUGCUCCAUAUGGAGAAGCUGCAACGGCAGUCGCGGAAAAUUAGCGGUGACGAGCGGAGAGUCUUAGUGAGCGGCCAUGUGGCCAUGUAUUGCACAAAUACUGAGUGCCUAUGAUGCUCGAUAUGACAAGGCGAGUUGUUGGCGCCUUUAAAUAAUCAAUAGUCUUCGCGGCGAUCGGUCCUUUGGACAGGAACGAGCUUGUUCACAUAGAAGCUUGACGAGGAUCGCCUCCUCCACAUGAAAAUGUGGCUACAACAGCAACAACAACUAUCAACACAGUCAUGAUCACAUCGGGACCAGUCUCUGAUCUCACCAAUAAAGAACUAUCGAAUGUAGUUCUUAGGAAGAAAACACCAUCAGCUGCUGGUAUGGGCGGCAUUACCUAUGAAAUGGUUAGUCAACUAACCAGUAAAUCAAAAGCGAACCUCCUCGCAGCAAUAAAUGCAGCUUAGAAAUACUGUGAUAUUAGCAAUAAUUGGCGUAAAAUUACGAUUGUAUACUAGAUGUACCGACAGCUUAUGAUUGCGUCAAAAUACAAGCACUACAUACAAUACUUUCGGAACUCAAGUGUCCAUGCGAGAUCCUUAUUACAAACUUCCUGAAACAUCGAACUCUUGUUGUGGGUUAUGAAUGGCUUGAUAAUUACAAUGGGCUUCCACAGGGCAGCUAUCUAAGUCCAAUGUUAUUUAACAUCUACACAAUUGGCUUACACGGCACUGUAAAUCCACAAACACACCUAUAUCAGUUCGCUGAUGAUUUCAUUAAACCCGCAAUAAAGCGCAGAAAAAACUGUGGUUAGGUAUGUGGCUAAAAGCGGAAGUAAAACCCCAGACAUCUGCAUUGGUAACACUAGAAUCACAAAUGUUACAAAAAUAAAGUUUCUUAGCAGACACAUCAAGAACAGCCUGACCGUUAAAGAUCACUAUGAAGAAGUGAUUUCGACUUGCAGCCCUGCUCUAAAAAUGAUAAAAACAGAAAAACAUGGCUACACCCCACAAUAAGACUUAACCUGUCGAAGUCCCUUCCUUUUUCGAAAACUGAAUAUUCAAUCU
Stomoxys calcitrans (stable fly) is the source of this 4582-nucleotide long non-coding RNA. RefSeq lists it as uncharacterized. Lineage: Eukaryota; Metazoa; Arthropoda; Insecta; Diptera; Muscidae. The transcript has 3 exons. The record is from RefSeq and is a predicted model, not a curated record.